AACACAUACAAGUCGAACGCGAAAGGGACUUCGGUCCUGAGUAAAGUGGCGCACGGGUGAGUAACGCGUAGAUAACCUGUCUUCAUGUCUGGAAUAAUACGCCGAAAGGGGUACUAAUACCGGAUAUUCUUGCUUUUCAUAAGUUAUGCAAGCAAAGGUGGCCUCUGCAUAUGCUACUGCAUGAAGAGGGGUCUGCGUACCAUUAGCUAGUAGGUGGGGUAAUGGCCUACCUAGGCGACGAUGGUUAGCGGGUCUGAGAGGAUGAUCCGCCACACUGGCACUGGAACACGGGCCAGACUCCUACGGGAGGCAGCAGUGAGGAAUAUUGCGCAAUGGGGGAAACCCUGACGCAGCGACGCCGCGUGAGUGAGGAAGGCCUUCGGGUCGUAAAGCUCUGUCAAGAGGAAAGAAGUGUACAAUGGCUAAUACCUGUUGUAUUUGACGGUACCUCUAAAGGAAGCACCGGCUAACUCCGUGCCAGCCGCCGC
This 488-nucleotide ribosomal RNA is filed under the name uncultured bacterium. Its description in RNAcentral is "bacterial SSU rRNA". It matches the Rfam family "Bacterial small subunit ribosomal RNA", at positions 50 to 518 of the family's 1533-position model. The record is from RNAcentral.